Molecule: unclassified non-coding RNA, 217 nt
Filed under: uncultured Tomentella
Lineage: Eukaryota; Fungi; Basidiomycota; Agaricomycetes; Thelephorales; Thelephoraceae
Description: sequence contains ITS2
Source: RNAcentral
ACACCUCAACUCUCAUGGCUUGCCAUGAUGAGCUUGGACCAUGGGGGACUUGCUGGCCUGCAGUCGGCUCCCCUCAAAUGAAUCAGCUUGCCAGUGUUUGGUGGCGUCACAGGUGUGAUAACUAUCUACGCUUGUGGUUUUCCACCAGGUAACCUUCAGCAAUGAAGGUUCGCUGGAGCUCACAAAUGUCUUUCCUUUGUGAGGACAGAUUUUGACC